GCUUCGGCUGGGUUUUCCGACCGUUUGGCCGGUGGUUUGGCUCCGGUUUGGCCAUAGGCAGACUCAGCAUCAAAAAAUGAGCCAGGGGGAGAAACUUUACCUCGAUCGGCGGUCGAAAACUUCCCUGGUGUGGCGGCGGGUGGCGGUGGCCGGCUCCUCCGGCGUUUGGUUCUUCUUCUCCGGCGAGGCACUAGCGGCUAGGGUUU
RNAcentral lists this long non-coding RNA (206 nucleotides) under Carica papaya (papaya). RNAcentral describes it as "long non-coding RNA (CPAP_LNC014889)". Lineage: Eukaryota; Viridiplantae; Streptophyta; Magnoliopsida; Brassicales; Caricaceae. The record is from RNAcentral.